This 29-nucleotide non-coding RNA is filed under the name Mus musculus (house mouse). Lineage: Eukaryota; Metazoa; Chordata; Mammalia; Rodentia; Muridae. The record is from RNAcentral.
UGCUCAGAUAUGGUAGGACACCCUACAGG